RNAcentral lists this ribosomal RNA (255 nucleotides) under uncultured bacterium. RNAcentral describes it as "partial small subunit ribosomal RNA". It matches the Rfam family "Bacterial small subunit ribosomal RNA", at positions 26 to 285 of the family's 1533-position model. The record is from RNAcentral.
AGGACGAACGCUGGCGGCGUGCUUAACACAUGCAAGUCGAGCGGAAAGGCCCUUCGGGGUACUCGAGCGGCGAACGGGUGAGUAACACGUGAGCAACCUGCCCCUGGCUCUGGGAUAGCCUCCGGAAACGGGGAUUAAUACCGGAUAUUCACUGUCUCCUGCAUGGGGGGUGGUGGAAAGUUUUUCGGCUAGGGAUGGACUCGCGGCCUAUCAGCUAGUUGGUGGGGUAAUGGCCUACCAAGGCGACGACGGGUA